RNAcentral lists this ribosomal RNA (301 nucleotides) under uncultured bacterium. Its description in RNAcentral is "partial 16S ribosomal RNA". It matches the Rfam family "Bacterial small subunit ribosomal RNA", at positions 509 to 809 of the family's 1533-position model. The record is from RNAcentral.
CAGCAGCCACGGGAAUACGUAGGGUGCGAGCGUUAAUCGGAAUUACUGGGCGUAAAGCGUGCGCAGGCGGUUCGUUAAGACAGAUGUGAAAUCCCCGGGCUUAACCUGGGAACUGCAUUUGUGACUGGCGAGCUAGAGUAUGGCAGAGGGGGGUAGAAUUCCACGUGUAGCAGUGAAAUGCGUAGAGAUGUGGAGGAAUACCGAUGGCGAAGGCAGCCCCCUGGGCCAAUACUGACGCUCAUGCACGAAAGCGUGGGGAGCAAACAGGAUUAGAGACCCCAGUAGUCCCUGUCUCUUAUAA